GUCAAGUCAUCAUGGCCCUUACGACCAGGGCUACACACGUGCUACAAUGGUCGGUACAAAGGGUUGCUACCUAGCGAUAGGAUGCUAAUCUCAAAAAGCCGAUCGUAGUCCGGAUUGGAGUCUGCAACUCGACUCCAUGAAGUCGGAAUCGCUAGUAAUCGUGGAUCAGAAUGCCACGGUGAAUACGUUCCCGGGCCUUGUACACACCG
Molecule: ribosomal RNA, 209 nt
Filed under: Pseudo-nitzschia pungens
Lineage: Eukaryota; Bacillariophyta; Bacillariophyceae; Bacillariales; Bacillariaceae
Description: partial Bacterial small subunit ribosomal RNA
Rfam family: Bacterial small subunit ribosomal RNA
Source: RNAcentral